This 4294-nucleotide unclassified non-coding RNA is filed under the name Hevea brasiliensis (rubber tree). The record is from RNAcentral. Lineage: Eukaryota; Viridiplantae; Streptophyta; Magnoliopsida; Malpighiales; Euphorbiaceae.
CUCGCCUGCAGGCUAGAACAUCGGUAAAUCCAGAGAGGAUUGUAGAUUCUACACGAAGUCUUGUGUCAAUCACGCCAGCAGUCAUCCUUUUGUUGAUCCAAUAUAAAAAACCCUCAAAGCUUCAAUUCCAGCUUCGUCUUCAAUUUCAGGUUCUCCAAAAAGCAGAGAAAAAGCAAAGACUCUCAUUGUGCUGAGGUACCAUGGCAAAUCAGUGCUCCAAUGAUGGUUCUAGUACAAGCAACACUUCUGGAGAAACUUCAGAUGCAACUGUAGAGCUCAAUAUCAAGACUCUAGAUUCUCAGAUUUACAGUUUUCAGGUGGAUAAAAAUAUUCCCGUUUCAGCAUUCAAGGAGAAAAUAGCUAAUGAAAUUGGUGUUCCAGUAGUUCAGCAAAGACUGAUUUUCCGGGGAAAGGUCUUGAAGGAUGAACAUCUCCUUUCUGAAUAUCAAGUGGAGAAUGGGCAUACCUUGCACUUAGUUGCAAGGCAGCCAACUCAGUCUCAGCCUUCAACUGAUACAAGCUCUGGUGACACAAAUGCAAAUACUGGUAACAGAGGAAAUGAUCCUAGUGCUGGCAUCCCCCAAAAUCGUGUUGGGCAAAUAUCACACAGUGUAGUUCUUGGGACCUUUAAUGUUGGGGAUCAAGGUGAAGGCAUUGUUCCAGACCUCACUCGGGUUAUUGGUGCAGUGCUGAACUCCUUCGGCAUUGGUGGUCAGACUGCAACUCAUGGCAUUGGUGGAGUGCAGUCCUCUACCACGUCAAAUGUUAGUGGCCAGACUCCUCAAGGAAAUGAAACAGCAGAUGGGUUACAAAGCAAUGUUGGUGGUCAGAGUCAAGCAGGAAAUCAAACACAUUCUGGGCAGGCAUUUCCUGGUCAGCCAUUUCAAUCACCUCCUCAAGUCAUGCCAAUUCCUACUGCAGCAGUACCUCUUCCUUCACUUCGUUUGCCAAUCCCUGAUUCUUUGAGUACACUUUCUGAGUUUAUGACUCGUAUGGAGCAAGCACUGGCACAAAAUGGUGAUGAUAGAAAUGGCAUUAUAUCUCAUAUUUUGCACUUGAACAUUGCUGAAAAUAACUCAUUUUGCUUCAUCUAGGGUACCAGCCAAUUGCAACUUCAAACAACACAGGAGAUGUCCCAAAUGUAGAAUUACCUUCUAAUGUAAGGGGAUUGCAAGCAUUGCACAUUGUCCUGCGACAUGCAGAACGGCUUCUCGGUGGUCAUGUGAUCACUGCAUUAUCUGUAAACCUCUAUGUCCCAAAAACUUUAAUUCCUUGCAAGCCCCCACACACGCCCUCCCUCCUCCCCCUCCUCCCUCCUUCCCUCCCUUUUCAUUUCCUUUCCUCUUUUUGAAGCAAUUGAUACUGAAUUUUUGAAUUUGCCUUUGUGUAAACAUUUAUCAAUAGUUUUGGUGCUGUAUGUGACUCCAUUAUAUGGUUAUGGAUCUGGGACAGUGAUUUGUAUGCAUUUGCUUUAAAGUUACUGCAUUGUUGUAUCAUUUGGUUUUAUGAUUGGUGAAUGCUGAUAUGAUAAUUUUACAGAGAUAAUAAAGUCUGUUUAACACUAAGUGAUAACAAUAUGUAGGAUAGUAACGUCUUCCUUAUGCUAUAAGUGAUGUAUUCUAUAUUAUGCCACUGCUUUGAGUGCAGUGUUUGACGAAUUUAUUACGAGGUUAACUUAAGAACUGCCUGCCUUGUUAAUUUAUAGUGAGGCAAUGUUUGCAUUUAAAUUUCUUACUAGGGAAUUGGUUAUAAUCUAUUCUAAAAUGAACAAAUCCUUUUUUUUCCCCUUUGGAAAACCUUAUAAUCUAUGUUACAUGUAACAUGCUGCAACUUUGUAGCAUAUUGCAGAACGCUUGGAACGAGAGGGAGUUUCUGGUAAUCCUUUUGUGAGGGGCCAAAUUCAGACAGAAUCAGCUCAAGUUGGCCUUGCAAUGCAGCACAUAGGUGCUCUUCUUUUGGAGCUUGGUCGGACAAUCUUGACACUGCGAAUGGGACAAUCUCCUGCUGAUUCUUCUGUAAAUCCCGGACCUGCUGUUUAUAUAUCUCCAUCAGGGCCUAAUCCUAUAAUGGUCCAGCCUUUUGCCCUACAAACCAAUUCCCUCUUUGGUGGUUCUUCUGUACAAUCAAAUCCCAUGAGUUCUGGUCAUGUUGGCAUUGGUAGUGCCCCAAGGAACAUAAAUAUCCAUGUACAUGCUGGUACUUCACUGGCACCGGUUGUAUCAACCAUAGGUGCCCGGGCAAGUAAUGGGGAGGGGAUGCAAGGAGAACGGGGUAAUGGUACUGGUUUUAGUGGUUCAGGCCCAGUGCGGAUGCUACCAGUGCAAAAUGUCAUUGCAGCAGCAGUGCCGUCACAUUCUACUGGUGUUACUGUUUCUGUUUCAAAUGCCACACAACCUGGUCUAGGUGUUUCUAUUUCACAGCCUCCAUCUGAUUCUACAUCAUUAUCCUCUGUAAUAGCUGAAGUUAAUUCACGACUAAGAAGUCUUGUCGGUACCAUGCAAGGAGAAAACCAGCCUACAUCAGGCUCUGUUACUUCUGGUACAGGUAAUGGUGCAAGCAACAAAGAGCCUGAAGGGGUGAUGAUCAGUGGGGCUGGGGAAUCUUCUGUGACCUUAUCUGGGUUAAUGUUCGAUGGCCAUGAUCAAAAGAAUCAAGAUGAUCAUGUCCGAGGAAGUAAUGGUGAGGUGACAGAGAGUUUUUUGAGCUCAAAAGAUGUUUCGUCUUGCUCGGUGGGAUGUUCAAAUGGAGAAACCUCACUAAAGCCAAAAAAGACUUCAGAAAAUGCCCCUAGUUCCAGUGAGAAGCAUGAUCUUUCAGAAGGUGCUGAAGCUGUUCCUCUUGGAUUAGCGAUGGGGAGUUUGGAAUGCAAGAGGAAAACCAGUCAGCCAAAAUCGGUGGUGAAGAGUGGUGAUCUUGGAACAAGCAAUACUCCUGUCUGUGAGAACCUGAACACUGGAAUGACUGGUCAACAGCUAUUACAAUCUCUUGCAUCUCUUAGCUCUGGUACAAAUAGGGUGGGUGCAAAUGAGAUACAUUCAAGUCAAAUACCUUCAUCUGUUUGCAGGAACUUGGAGAAUAGUCCACUGGGAGAACAAGGUUCUGAUGCCCAGUUUGGUACUUCUAGUGUUGUGUCUCAGGUGAUAGAUAGUCCUGCCUUGAAUGGUUUGUUGGCAGGUGUCUCACAGCAAACUGGGGUUGGCUCUCCCAAUGUUUUGAGGAAUAUGUUGCAACAGCUCACUCAGAACCCCCAAAUAAUGAGUACUGUCAGCCAAAUUGCUCAGCAGGUAGAAAGCCAAGACCUUGGGAAUAUGUUCUCAGGUUUGGGAAGUGGCCAAGGCAGUGGCAUUGAUCUUUCUAGGGUGGUCCAACAGAUGAUGCCAGUAGUUUCCCAGGUUCUCAGUCGUGGGUCAGCUGCUCAGCCAUUCUCUCCUGUAGAACCUGAAGCUCAGCAGCAGUAUAAUGAGAGGAGAUCAAGUGGAAAUGAAAAACCCAAUGAUCAAAAUGUUCAGAUCGACCUCCAGGAUGUGGCCCAGAGAAUUGGACAUUUCAAUGCACCUGGAGAUAUUUUCCGAGCUGUAGCUGAAAAUGCAGGGAGGUCGAAUGGGAAUGAAAGUGGAUCCCUAGAUAUUGUGCAGGAGUUGAGCAACAAUGCGGAUCUAGUCCAUGAUUACAUAGAGAUGCUACAGCGUGAUAUACAUCAGCUGCUUCAGAGUGACACUGGGGAGGAUGAGUCUUGAUUUCUCGGAGAGGCGGUUUCUUAUGAUUUCAAGCGUCCAGAAAUGGUUCGCCAGAGACUAUUAUCUCAGCCAGGCUUACCUUGAAAAUGAUUUCAGCUUGUACAAAUCGGUAUGGAGCUCUACGCUCCAUGUUAUAAGCCAACAUCGAUAUGAUUUUUCGGUUUAUUGUGAAUUAGUAUUUAUGAUAUAAAUUCAAUACUUUAAGUUUCCCGUUUCAAGGGAUUGGGGGCAAGUUCCCAGAAAGUUAACAAAUUCAACUUAUUUGGUUGAUGUUUUAUUGGGAAGUGACCUUCCGAAAAGUAAUUUUACCUCCAUGAAGAUACGUCGCUUCCUAAAAAGUGUAAAGAAAGAGCUUGACUCAAAUGAGAUCUUAGUAUUUCGUUUUGUUUCUUUUUAGUCAUCCAGGGGAUAAAUCCUAGGCGGCUUUGUACUAAUAGCAAUCCAAUUGAAUGAUGUAGUUAUCUGGCUUCGAACUAAUAGCAAUUAUCUUGCUUGGGUUGGUAUUUGAUUUCACUUACAAUUAUUGAAUUUAUUACUAAUUCGAACAUGAACAUGGU